Molecule: long non-coding RNA, 1053 nt
Filed under: Mytilus galloprovincialis (Mediterranean mussel)
Lineage: Eukaryota; Metazoa; Mollusca; Bivalvia; Mytilida; Mytilidae
Source: RNAcentral
AGAUAAUUGUAAGCAGCAAGAAUGUUUAGUAAAGUAAGAUCUACAAACACAUCACCAUCACCAAAACACAAUUUUGUCAUGAAUCCAUCUGUGUCCAUUGUUUAAUAUUCACAUAGACCAAGGUGAGCGACACAGGCUCUUUAGAGCCUCUAGUUGGUUAUUAUCUUGAAUAUUAUUAUAGAUAGAGAUAAACUGUAAACAGCAAUAAUGUUCAGCAAAGUAAUAUUUACAAAUAAGUCAAAAUGACCGAAAUGGUCAGUUGACCCCUUUAGGAGUUAUUGCCCUUUAUAGUCAAUUUUUAACCAUUUUUCGUAAAUCUUAGUGAUCUUUUACAAAAAUCUUCUCCUCUGAAACUACUUGGCGAAAUCAAUCCAAACUUGGCCACAACCAUCUUUGGGGUAUGUAGUUUGAAAAAUGUGUCCAGCGACCCAGCCAUCCAAUCAAGAUGGCCGCCAUGGCUAAAAAUAGAACCUUGGGUAAAAUGCAGUUUUUGGCUUAUAACUAAAAAACCAAAGCAUUUAGAGUAAAUCUGACAGAGGUAAAUUUGUUUAUCAGGUCAAGAUCUACCUGCCCUGAAAUUUUCAGAUGAAUUGGACAACCCGGUUUUGGGUUGCUGCCCCAGAAUAAGUAAUUUUAAUGAAAUUUUGCUGUUUUUGGUUAUUAUCUUGAAUAUUAUUAUAGAUAGAGAUAAACUGUAAACAGCAAUAAUGUUCAGCAAAAAAAGAUUUACAAAUAAGUCAACAUGACCGAAAUGGUCAGUUGACCCCUUUAGGAGUUAUUGCCCUUAAUAGUCAAUUUUUAACCAUUUUUCGUAAAUCUUAGUAAUCUUUUACAUCUUCUCCUCUGAAACUACUUGGCCAAAUUACACCAAACUUGGCCAAAAUCAUCAUUGGGGUAUCUUGUUUAAAAAUGUGUCCGGUGACCCGGCCAACCAUCCAAGAUGGCCGCCAUGGCUAAAAAUAGAACAUAGGGGUAAAAUGCAGUUUUGGGCUUAUAACUCAAAAACCAAAGCAUUUAGAGCAAAUCUGACAAGGGGUAAAAUUAUGUAACAGG